UUACGGGAGGCAGCAGUGGGGAAUUGUUCGCAAUGGGCGCAAGCCUGACGACGCAACGCCGCGUGGAGGAUGAAGAUCUUCGGGUCGUAAACUCCUUUCGAUCGGGAAGAACGUUUUCGGGGUGAACAACUCCGAGAAGUGACGGUACCGAGAGAAGAAGCCCCGGCUAACUCUGUGCCAGCAGCCGCGGUAAUACAGGGGGGGCAAGCGUUGUUCGGAAUUACUGGGCGUAAAGGGCCAGUAGGCGGCCAACUAAGUCACACGUGAAAUCCCCAGGCUUAACCUGGGAACUGCGUGUGAUACUGGAUGGCUUGAAUUCGGGAGAGGGAUGCAGAAUUCCAGGUGUAGCGGUGAAAUGCGUAGAUAUCUGGAGGAAUACCGGUGGCGAAGGCGGCAUCCUGGACCGACAUUGACGCUGAACGGCGAAAGCUAGGGGAGCAAACGGGAUUAGAUACCCCGGU
RNAcentral lists this ribosomal RNA (461 nucleotides) under uncultured bacterium. Its description in RNAcentral is "bacterial SSU rRNA". It matches the Rfam family "Bacterial small subunit ribosomal RNA", at positions 339 to 791 of the family's 1533-position model. The record is from RNAcentral.